Molecule: ribosomal RNA, 1372 nt
Filed under: uncultured bacterium
Lineage: Bacteria
Description: bacterial SSU rRNA
Rfam family: Bacterial small subunit ribosomal RNA
Source: RNAcentral
GAUGAACGCUGGCGGCUUGCCUAAUACAUGCAAGUCGAGCGAACGGACGAGAAGCUUGCUUCUCUGAUGUUAGCGGCGGACGGGUGAGUAACACGUGGAUAACCUACCUAUAAGACUGGGAUAACUUCGGGAAACCGGAGCUAAUACCGGAUAAUAUUUUGAACCGCAUGGUUCAAAAGUGAAAGACGGUCUUGCUGUCACUUAUAGAUGGAUCCGCGCUGCAUUAGCUAGUUGGUAAGGUAACGGCUUACCAAGGCAACGAUGCAUAGCCGACCUGAGAGGGUGAUCGGCCACACUGGAACUGAGACACGGUCCAGACUCCUACGGGAGGCAGCAGUAGGGAAUCUUCCGCAAUGGGCGAAAGCCUGACGGAGCAACGCCGCGUGAGUGAUGAAGGUCUUCGGAUCGUAAAACUCUGUUAUUAGGGAAGAACAUAUGUGUAAGUAACUGUGCACAUCUUGACGGUACCUAAUCAGAAAGCCACGGCUAACUACGUGCCAGCAGCCGAGGUAAUACGUAGGUGGCAAGCGUUAUCCGGAAUUAUUGGGCGUAAAGCGCGCGUAGGCGGUUUUUUAAGUCUGAUGUGAAAGCCCACGGCUCAACCGUGGAGGGUCAUUGGAAACUGGAAAACUUGAGUGCAGAAGAGGAAAGUGGAAUUCCAUGUGUAGCGGUGAAAUGCGCAGAGAUAUGGAGGAACACCAGUGGCGAAGGCGACUUUCUGGUCUGUAACUGACGCUGAUGUGCGAAAGCGUGGGGAUCAAACAGGAUUAGAUACCCUGGUAGUCCACGCCGUAAACGAUGAGUGCUAAGUGUUAGGGGGUUUCCGCCCCUUAGUGCUGCAGCUAACGCAUUAAGCACUCCGCCUGGGGAGUACGACCGCAAGGUUGAAACUCAAAGGAAUUGACGGGGACCCGCACAAGCGGUGGAGCAUGUGGUUUAAUUCGAAGCAACGCGAAGAACCUUACCAAAUCUUGACAUCCUUUGACAACUCUAGAGAUAGAGCCUUCCCCUUCGGGGGACAAAGUGACAGGUGGUGCAUGGUUGUCGUCAGCUCGUGUCGUGAGAUGUUGGGUUAAGUCCCGCAACGAGCGCAACCCUUAAGCUUAGUUGCCAUCAUUAAGUUGGGCACUCUAAGUUGACUGCCGGUGACAAACCGGAGGAAGGUGGGGAUGACGUCAAAUCAUCAUGCCCCUUAUGAUUUGGGCUACACACGUGCUACAAUGGACAAUACAAAGGGCAGCGAAACCGCGAGGUCAAGCAAAUCCCAUAAAGUUGUUCUCAGUUCGGAUUGUAGUCUGCAACUCGACUACAUGAAGCUGGAAUCGCUAGUAAUCGUAGAUCAGCAUGCUACGGUGAAUACGUUCCCGGGUCU